This 500-nucleotide ribosomal RNA is filed under the name uncultured Glomeromycotina. RNAcentral's name for it is "partial small subunit ribosomal RNA". It matches the Rfam family "Eukaryotic small subunit ribosomal RNA", at positions 591 to 1092 of the family's 1831-position model. Lineage: Eukaryota; Fungi; Glomeromycota. The record is from RNAcentral.
CCAAUAGCGUAUAUUAAAGUUGUUGCAGUUAAAAAGCUCGUAGUUGAACUUCGGGAUCAAUGGGUCGGUCAUGCCGUCGGUAUGUACUGAUUUUAUUGGUUCUCACCUUCUAAGGAACCGUAAUGUCAUUAAUUUGAUGUUGCGGGGAAUUAGGACUGUUACCUUGAAAAAAUUAGAGUGUUUAAAGCAGGCUAACGCUUGAAUACAUUAGCAUGGAAUAAUGAAAUAGGACAUCAGAUUCUAUUUUGUUGGUUUCUAGGAUCGAUGUAAUGAUUAAUAGGGAUAGUUGGGGGCAUUAGUAUUCAAUUGUCAGAGGUGAAAUUCUUGGAUUUAUUGAAGACUAACUACUGCGAAAGCAUUUGCCAAGGAUGUUUUCAUUAAUCAAGAACGAAAGUUAGGGGAUCGAAGACGAUCAGAUACCGUCGUAGUCUUAACCAUAAACUAUGCCGACUAGGGAUCGGAUGAUGUUAAUUUUUUAAUGACUCAUUCGGCACCUUACG